This 384-nucleotide unclassified non-coding RNA is filed under the name soil metagenome. Its description in RNAcentral is "partial contains 5.8S ribosomal RNA, internal transcribed spacer 2, and large subunit ribosomal RNA". The stretch from base 1 to 120 matches the Rfam family "5.8S ribosomal RNA", at positions 35 to 154 of the family's 154-position model. The record is from RNAcentral.
GAUGAAGAACGCAGCGAAAUGCGAUAAGUAAUGUGAAUUGCAGAAUUCAGUGAAUCAUCGAAUCUUUGAACGCACCUUGCACCCUUUGGCAUUCCGAAGGGUAUGCUCGUUUGAGUGUCAUUGUACUCUCACUCUCCCGAUGCUUUUGGAUCGGGAGUGGUGGACUUGGGUGUUGCUGCUUUGCUGUGGCUCGCCUCAAAUGGAGUAGUGCAACUCUUGGUUGGACAUAGUACGGCGUGAUAAGUGUCUUCGCCGGCGCCUCAUUAUAGAGGGUGGCCGAUCGGGAGCUCUGUGCUUCAAACCGUCUUCGGACAACAUCUGACAACUUGACCUCAAAUCGAGUAGGACUACCCGCUGAACUCAAGCAUAUCAAUAAGCGGAGGA